UCCGUGUAAAAGAGGCCAACGG
Molecule: unclassified non-coding RNA, 22 nt
Filed under: Mus musculus (house mouse)
Lineage: Eukaryota; Metazoa; Chordata; Mammalia; Rodentia; Muridae
Description: oocyte_clustered_small_RNA11578
Source: RNAcentral